This 494-nucleotide ribosomal RNA is filed under the name uncultured bacterium. Its description in RNAcentral is "bacterial SSU rRNA". It matches the Rfam family "Bacterial small subunit ribosomal RNA", at positions 8 to 518 of the family's 1533-position model. The record is from RNAcentral.
AGAGUUUGAUUCUGGCUCAGGACGAACGCUGGCGGCACGCUUAACACAUGCAAGUCGAACGAGCGAAAGGUGCUUGCACCUCUAGCUAGUGGCGGACGGGUGAGUAACACGUGAGCAAUCUGCCUUUCGGUGGGGGAUACCAAUUGGAAACGAUUGUUAAUACCCCAUAACAUAACGAAGCCGCAUGACUUUGUUAUCAAAGAUUUAUUGCCGGAAGAUGAGCUCGCGUCUGAUUAGGUAGUUGGUGAGGUAACGGCUCACCAAGCCGACGAUCAGUAGCCGGACUGAGAGGUUGAACGGCCACAUUGGGACUGAGACACGGCCCAGACUCCUACGGGAGGCAGCAGUGGGGAAUAUUGCACAAUGGGCGAAAGCCCUGAUGCAGCGAUGCCGCGUGAGGGAAGAAGGUUUUAGGAUUGUAAACCUCUGUCUUUGGGGACGAUAAUGACGGUACCCAAGGAGGAAGCUCCGGCUAACUACGUGCCAGCCGCCGC